AAAAUACGUUUGAUCUAAAAUUUUGAGAAAUUAUUUUAUAAUAUUUUACUACACAAAAGUUGAUUAUUAAGUAAAAUAUAAUAUUUUUAUAUUAAUAUAUUAUAGCUGCCGACUGGGUAUAAAGCUGGUUCUGCAAACCCAAUGUUUAAAAUGCAUGACUUUUACUUCACUACCAAACUUUAAUUUCAAACAUGUCUAAUGUUAAAAUGCUUGCGAUUAUCAUGGUUUUUGUACUUCUGUGCUACCUUAGCAACCCUUCGGUCCAGGAUUGGAAAAUUUCAAGCCAGGCUAAUAUGUGAAAG
This 302-nucleotide long non-coding RNA is filed under the name Olea europaea (common olive). RNAcentral describes it as "long non-coding RNA (OEUR_LNC011153)". The record is from RNAcentral. Lineage: Eukaryota; Viridiplantae; Streptophyta; Magnoliopsida; Lamiales; Oleaceae.